Long non-coding RNA from Carya illinoinensis, 1938 nucleotides. RefSeq lists it as uncharacterized. NCBI's taxonomy places the organism in Eukaryota, Viridiplantae, Streptophyta, Magnoliopsida, Fagales, Juglandaceae. The record is from RefSeq and is a predicted model, not a curated record. The transcript is spliced from 4 exons.
GCCCGUUUAAUGCAAGAGCCACUGAAACUAGAUAUUGUUAUUAGCUUUCCAGAUCAUGGCUUUCAUCUUUGUUUUGAUCCUUGGUCGCAGGUGUUACAUUACUUUAUAUAUAUUCAUUUGUUUAGGUUUUCUCUCUGUGCUUCAUUGUGAGCAUGUGAUCUGGAAGAUUCUUUUCUUCUAAUUAUCAAUGAGAUGAGGGAACUAUUAAAGAUUAAUUUUUGUACCUAAUGAAGCAAUUAGUUUAGUAGCUUUAAUCACUAAUACAUUGUUUUGAAAGAUCACCAUUCUUCUUCCAUAUGUGGCAAGACCUUGUGCGAUCCAGAGGUUUAAGGUGAUGCCUAUGUCACAGAAUUAAGCUUUUGUUUUCUGACUCGUUGGGCAAAGAGGUUCCUUCUUGUAUUUUUCUGGAUACCCACUCUUUUUAGUUUACUCCUCUUGAUACCUAUCAUUUUUUAUCUCCACAUUUGAUCUGAUAGUGACAAUGGCAGUCUCUAAAGCGUAUUCUCUGAGAGCUAAUCCUUGCAUUCUGAUAUUAUCUCUGUUAUCAUUAUUAUUAUUUUGGAUCUAUGAUUGUUGUUAAAAAUGGUCUUUUACCAUUUAUAUUGCACGUCAGGUUAACUCCACAUAAGGAACUCAUGCUAAGGACUACAAAGGAUAUAAAAAACAAUAGAAUCUAUUGCUUGAAAAUGGAUGAUUUUAAUGUUUCUUGCAAGCAUGAUAAUACAUACAUGAUCACUCCAAUCUGUUAAAAUUGUCAACUUGUGACCUUAAUGGAAAUAAAUCCAAUCUAUUUUUGAUCUACAAUUGUUGUUAUAAAUGGUCUUUUUUGUGGGUUUCCAAUUCGCAUAAUGGAUAAAUCAAUCAUUGGAUUUGAGUAAUUGCCUUUUGGUAAUUGCAUAGAACUAUAGAUGGGCUAUCUGCCUCAUUGGAUCAGCUAUUGCAAUUACUUUAUGCUAUGAGGCCCAUUCUCAUUUGAGUUUUGAGGGAUUCAUAUUGGCACUGUAUUCUGACUUAUCAAAAUAAAAUGUUGGUACUGUAUUCUCUGUAAUUUGUUGGUGGGUGUCCAUUUUAUUUUUAAAGGGUGUGAUAAUGCAUUUUGGUGCUGUAUCUUGUGCGACUAGUGUGACCUAAUAGGUGUUCAGCCUCGUGCCUUGCUGCCAUAAGUUAAUUAUCUAUCCAAAACAGAAAUUUAUGAUUACAUCAUGAUGCAUUUUGAUUAAUGUAACUUUGAUUAAUGCAUCAGACCCUUGUCCGCGGACAACACUAUGGUGAUUAUUUCUACAACUAUUUUACACGUGGUUUAGACAUCUUAUUUUAUGGACAGACUCAUAAGAUCAAGAAGUUUGUUUUGCAUACAAACUAUCCUGGUCAUGCAGAUUUCAAUUCGUGCAAUUUUAUUAUCUUUGGUUCAGAUGUUGAGGGGUCUUUUGAGGAUGUAAGCAAAUGGCAGCGGACAGACGAUUGCACCAAGCACUAAGUGGCAGCAAUUGAAGGUUGUCUGAAUUGGAUGCUGACACGGUCACUGGCCUGCAACCCGACUCAGACAAGCCAGAUUUGGGGCCGAUCCGAUCCGGCCCGUCAAUGGGACUACACGAAAAUGGUCCGCAACGACCCGCACUAUUCAGAUUGGGUUCAACUGUCGGUUUUAAAAUUUAUUUAUUAUUUAAAAAAGAAAAAAUCUUUGUCUGCGCUCCAGAAAAUCCACCUCUCCAAUUUCAAGAAACCUCAAACACUGGACCUCUGAAGAAGCAAAAAGAACAAGAAGGCAGAGACAAUAACAAUGGCAAGGAUGAUUUUGAGUUCGCUUUUGUUUGAAGUUUCCAUCACUAUUUGAUAUACUCAGCUUUUGUAUUAAUUUCUAAAACAAGCACGUCGACCGAGAGGCUCUUUAACUUUUAAUCGGGUGAAUUAAGAUGCCUUAGUUUUAUGUUCUGGCAA